RNAcentral lists this ribosomal RNA (285 nucleotides) under uncultured prokaryote. Its description in RNAcentral is "partial 16S ribosomal RNA". It matches the Rfam family "Bacterial small subunit ribosomal RNA", at positions 524 to 817 of the family's 1533-position model. The record is from RNAcentral.
UACGUAGGGGCAAGCGUUGUCCGGAAUAAUUGGGCGUAAAGGGCGCGUAGGCGGCUUUAUAAGUCUGGAGUGAAAGUCCUUCUUUUCAAGGGAGGAAUUGCUUUGGAAACUAUAGAGCUUGAGUGCAGGAGAGGUUAUCGGAAUUCCCGGUGUAGCGGUGAAAUGCGUAGAUAUCGGGAGGAACAUCGGUGGCGAAGGCGGGUAACUGGACUGCAACUGACGCUGAGGCGCGAAAAGUGUGGGGAGCAAACAGGAUUAGAUACCCGGGUAGUCCCUGAGCGGGCU